GGUCGCCGCGCGCUGGAAACGCCGUCAGCCAAUGCGAAGCCCAUCCGGUUGGAGUCGCAGCCUCCUUCGGUAUUUUGCAUAGGGGAAGUGGCGGAGGGAAAAGGAAACUCUUCAUCCAGCUCGCGGCCCCAUGGGGCCCUAAAAAUGCAGCGCUUCCUCCUAGACCUUCUUCAGCGGACACGAGUGAACUCAUCUGAUGGACACCUGACACCCACAAGGUGCAACCACCCCCAUCGGCUUCGCUGAGGAUCCGUCAGUGUUACCAGCAUAUGCGUGCCAUCCUAACAAAAGAAACCCUGAGGAAUGACUGAACGCUGACGUCACAACGGAGGAGCGUCAGACUCCACGUUCGUGUGUGAAAAACAUGGCACUGAGCUAAUAUGGAGCUAGAAUCACAUUUAUGGUGCUGCAUGUAAUAAAUGGAAUGGAUACAAUAUAAAUAUGAGCAUUAAGGAGUGAUCCUCUGCUGUUCCAGCUGUGCAGAGCCGGUGCCGAUCCAUGUGCUCUAUCACUCUGGCCUCCCUGAACUACAGCCAGAUGCUCAUAAAUACAUGCCCUUAUUUCCACCCUAGCGCCGAUGCCAGUCGGACCGGGGAGCGGGUUUGUUUUGGGAGGUUCUCAGCACAUUCUACGUUCCUCAUAAUGUAAAGGACCCGCUCCGACUUCCUGAAUGCGCUGCAUGCAUUCCUGCCUGUGCUCGUCUGUCAUGGUGGCAAUCCGCUGAAAGCCGGGGCGCCUCGGGUCCAGUGUCGGCAUAACGGAAACUUGUCGGUCCCGACGCCUGGAUUAAUCAAGUGGAAGCCUCUCGUCCCCCACGUCUCUCAUCUCAUCGGCUCGCCGCGUUUGGAGAGAAUAGGCCCGAGCCCCCUGAACCCCGAUGAUGUAGCAUUGAGGAGCUAAUUGGGCCCGGCACAGACCGGGCCUGUGGCGCAGGCUGCAGCCCAGAGCGAAGGAAUGGGACAUGUCAGCUCACACGUGGUGGUGGUGAAAUGUCUGACAUGUUUGCGCUUCGUAGGGACAGACUGCCUGCAACCAAGCCUGGACUUGCUGGCCAAGAACCCCCCCCCCCUCCGUUUUCUUUAGCGUGCUCCUUCCUGAACGACUGCACCGCUUAACCUUGUGCACACAGAACCCCCCCCCCCACACACACACACACACACACACACCCAUGAGCAAGUGAGAGUAACUGAAAUACAGAAAGACAGAAUAACUGAAACAAAGACACGUGUCACAAAACAAAGAGGAUGAAUAUUAUGAAACAAUAAAAAAACUGCUGAGUCUUCAUUUUCAAUUCAUUGUUCAUUCUUUGUUUUAAAUCAUACAAAAUGUCACAUAUUUAUUUAAUUGUUUUAGUUGCGAGCGUAAUCCCUGUGACUGAUACUUUUUCUGUUACUUCACUACCUGGUGGUUCUGUCCGUUGAUUUUCCUGCAGCCUCCUUCACCUGUUGUGGCGUUGAGUCUCCUCUUUUCAGCCUGUUCCAGACGAAGCCACUCGAGUCCAAACCAGACACUAAAGUCACGCUUCUUCACCCACGGGUUUGUGCUUUUGGCCCCUUCUUGCCCCACACGUCGAGCUUCUCUUUGCUGGACGUUCAUCUUGGUCUCAUCGCUGCAAUAAACCGCUUGUGCAGCUCGUUCCUCUGCAUCUUCUGGAUAAUGAUCGCACACCUCUGCUUUGUGGAGGAUCAGGAAUGUCACCACUUGUUGUUGUUCACAGCUUUCCUGCUGUUUUUCCUCAGACGGUGCUCUGCUCUGCGUUGCUGCGUUUUCAUGUUGUUCAUAUUGUACUUCAUGCUUCUCGUGGCUUUUCCUUGAUGUAAGUUCCUGGGAAUGCUGAAGUUCAAACAUUUGUACACUAUUUAUCUUUUGACAUCAAACAUCUCCAAGGACGAUAUACGCAAAUGAAUUGGCCUGAAUCAGUAAAUUAUCUAAUAUUUAAAACUUUGUUAUUGGACUCAGCGUACAUAAAAUAUUGUGCAUUGUUGUGUUUAUUCUAUCAUUCAUAAUAGAAAUUAGCAUGAUACCAUGCAUGAGACCUCAGUCUACUGUGGACGGCAAGACAAUGGAAAAUAUAAACAGUUCGCGGUUAGAGUUACAAGCGGGAUCAUGAUUCAUGUCAGGCGCUGUUGACAUCAGUUGUAAUUAUGAUGGUGCAUGUGGUGGAACCCACAUGGACCCAUGUUAUUUGUUGGAGCCCCUUUGGAAAAUGUAAAGUGACCAAACAGCGUUGCUCAAUGCCUUUGUUGAUGUAACCAUAUUUGAACUGUGUACACCCAUAUUACGGCUAAUUAUGGGCUCGGCUUCCUAGAAGAUUCACGGUGCCAUGAGAUGUCAAGGAGAGUUUAUUCGUCAGGUGUAAUUAGAGGACAUUUGGCGCCUGGUAUGAAAUUAAAGGAAAUUAUUCUGCCCCCACUGAUCGUUAACUAAUUAUACUGAACCAGAUCAACCAGGUGUCAUUGUGGGCUUUGUAAUGUCCUGGUAACAGGUUCAAGUUAAUGCAACAGAUUCACAGAUGGAAAAACCGAAGGGGUGGAAGCUUGUUGUCAACAACUGUGUUGAUAAAUCACAAAGUGCAAUUCAUGGUACAAUUAUCUCCAAGGGAGAGGCUGCGGCCGAGGGUUUAAAGUGAGCCCAUAUGCCGCCGACCGCAACCUGCUGCCACAUCUCCUAAACAUCCACAGAGAUGGAACUCUGCACUCCCCCCCCCCCCCUGCACAAAAACAGGCAGAGAAACAAUUACAACAUCAAAUGGGAAGCGCGGGAUCAGACGGGCUGAGGCUUUGCUUGGCUGAGAGCCUCCUUCACUCAAAGACAUGCGCCGCGUGCCGGCCGCUGACGAGGGAGGAGAGGAUGGAGCCGGCGGCGGACGGAGAGCGCGGGGAACGCUGUGCUUUGUCAUCGCAGUGAUGGUGAUUGCUUUAAUGGGAGCAACACACGCUGCCUUUUCAGCUCGAUCUGCGAGCCAGACCCCUGACAUCCAAUCCGAGGAGCUGGAACGAUCGAUGAUGCUGAUGGGAGCAACGUGCUUGACUAUUAUUAAUAUUAAAUUUAAUAUUAUCUAAGUCAUUAGAGGCUGACAUGUCAUUUGCAGCUGUUCUCCUUUUAUACGUCCUGUCCUCUGCGACAGUUACUGCUUCCUGCUUCAAGUAUGUAAUAACUACAAAGGAGUCCCAGUACCUGAGCAGCAGUGUAAACACUGGACAGCUGUGUUUCUACUGUACAUACAGCAGGAAGCAGUAGCGCCUCUCAUCUGCAUGCGUUUGACGCCGAAGAACAAGUUUCAAGUGCGGGUUUCCCCAUAAAUAAACUCUCGGUGCUCAGUUAUUUCCUAAAGUAAUUUGCUGUUUUGACGACGACGGUGAAGCGGCCGGGUCGAGAUGUGGUGACUGCAAAGGUCAAAACACUGGUUCUGCUCCCUGAAACCUGCCUCGCCUCCUUGUCACUGAGUCACCGGUGGCUUUUACACACACUGGGAGUCCGAGUGAAAUCCUCUCCAGGCUUAUUGGGCAACAGGACCCGUGUCCCAUCCCUCUGUAAAUAUGCCUCGCAUUCAAAGGUGUUGGAACCGUCUGUACCUGAUUAUGAAGACACAUAAUCCAGCGUCAGCGUCCUUAUCACAACUUGGCACUGGCGUGUGGAGCGUUAAGCCGGCGUCAUCGCCGCCGACGGCGGCCUGAGAGCGUUAGCGUUAGCAUUCUGCAGCUGAAAUGUGUGAGUUGAAGCUAAAAAUGGAUGUGUCACCGUCUCCCCGUCUCACGCUGAGCUGCUCCCCUGCCCUCGCUCUCUUUACCCCCGACUUGAGUGCAGACAAGUGGCGGCAGGUCCGGGAGGACGGGUUUGAUUGGCUACUUUUAAUAGUUUUCUUUUCUCUGCGUGCACAUGACUGAAAGAGACCAUUUUCCAGCUGACUGGAAGAUAAAUUAAAAGAUGAAUGUCUUUGGAAAUUGGAGGGAGGGGGUUAUUGUUAUUCUAAGAGUGUUAUUUAUGAUGACUUCAGAUAUAUAGAUGAAGGAUGACUGUAGCAGAUGGUGUGACAUCUUUAACAGCGUAACCUUUACUGGGUGACGGCGGAAACAAAGACCAACAGUAAAACCCUGAAGCCCAAAUUCUCAUUCUUGCAGCCGUUUAUCUUUUUUUUCCCCUCCUCACCUCAGCACUCUGGGUCAUAUCGAGUUCUCAGGCAGAAGGCAGAUAGCUGUGAUAGCAAUCGACAAGAUGGUGCAAAGUGAUGACAUGUUUGCAGAAUCAGCCUGUCUAACCAGGGCUGGCUCACGGUUGAGUGAGAACACGUAGCCGGUUGCCCAUGUCAUCAUAGUUAAACAUUGUCGAGGCUCCGGCUUAGCUGCACAUUUUCGCCUUGGGAAAAUCGCAAAAUGCGGAUCUAAGCGUCCAAAGCAGGGCUGCGCUGAUAAGUAACGUCUGAUUGAGUUACAAUGGAUCUCAAAACAAGAAGAUCAGGCCGAAGCUGAGCGAAAGGAGGCUUUUUGAUUAGCUCUGAUGACUAUAAGGGCUCUGGCUUAACCUGUGAGGCCCUUUAAAUGGCUGUUUAGCAGGAUUAUAAAAACUCAACUAACUAAACUAAACUUAGACUUUACCAAACAAACUUGCUAUUUCUUCAUGUUCAUAUCUCCUCUCUGACCUUUGGAGUUUACAGCAAACAACAAAAGGUCCGUUUAUGGUGAUGUGACAGCCCACAGUCGCCACAUGACACGUCGGGUUUUGGCAAUUGGACAUGUUUUAUUAAAACGUGACGGGUGCGAUAUGUACAGUACAGUUCGUACACAGAACAACGCGGUCUCAGAGGUGCAUUAGCUUGUUCCUCCGGCGCCGAGCACCUUGGGCAAUGUGUUUUGUUUUUUUUUUUUUCCAGAACAACCCUGCCUCCGCACAUGCAGCGGCACAUGCAGGUGCUGCAGACGAUGGGCCGCUGCUGAGAGAGAGAGAGAGAGAGAGAGAGAGAGAGAGACAGAGAGAGAGAGAGAGAGAGGGCAAAGGUGUGGUGUUGGGAGGGAAUGACUUCCAGACCUUGGAGUGAACCGCUUCUCGUUUGGGGGAGUUUACAUGUAAACACCCUGAACAUGCAGGUGGAAAUAUGGGCCAGUAGGCAUAAAUACAUAAAUAGCCCUGAUGUGGAGUUCAGGGCAUUUUUGCUAGGAAUGGAAUAUUUUAGAAAGAGAGAAAAUAAAAACAUCUUAUUGUUUUAUAAGGAAACUUGUUUGUGUUUGUGGCAGAUGGAGAAAAUGACCACCUGCACAGAAUCAGGUCAUAAGAGGACUUCUGAAAUAUUUACUUUUGUGUUAUUACUCAAAUCAAACUCAUUUGGUUUCUUUGUUUUGUCUAAUGCAGUUGAAUCCCUUGUAUACAGUCAUACCUCACGUUCCUCUUCUGUGUGUCUGCUACCUGGUCCAAACACUCCACCGUCUGGCCUGAAGUGGAAGCUUCACUUAGCUUUGUGACAUUAUUGACAUUCAGAUCAUAUUGCAUCUCAUAACAAGAGUCAUAACAAAUAUUAGGAAAGGGAAAAAAUAGAAACUAAAUGUAAUUUUUGUUAAUUGAAAUUUACUUUAUGCUUUAGCACGUGUUUAGAGAUGUCUUAAUACAUUUUGAUUAUACGAGAUCAUGAUGAGAAUGUGUUUCAUAAGUGACUAGAUAGAAAUUUAAACAAGAUGAGCUCAGCUCUUAAAAGUCAGAGAGGAGGUGAGUGUCUCUCAGAUUUGAGUUUUGCCUCAGAUCUCAUCUCCGCCACUAGAUGGCAGCAUUGUCUCACAAAAGGAACUGUGUCUCUGCUACACCGCAUACAACUGACAGCGUCUUCCGUCGCACCAUCUUUUGCUUUCUAACAUUACAUAAAACUCUUCCAUAUCAUGUGUUGGUCUGGUUGAAUUAGAAGCAGAGGUGUUGAGAUAAACCCAGGCCUAGUGACCUAAUGAGAAAAGGUUAGUCUGACCCAUUGCCAGAAGGAGGCAGUCUUUGCCCACGGGUUUUAUCAUUGUCUCUUUAUGGAAUGAGAAAGGCCUAAUUAAAGACUCACAACAGAAACCUUCCUCCACGAGGCCCAACUAUAAAAGUGCUGUGUGUCAUCUACCUCCUUCUAUUCGUCCUUUUAUUUAUCUUUAAUAAACUUUCAUAAGUGUUGCACUUAAAACAUGUUUGUGUCAUUUGAAAUAUUCACUAUUUAAGGUGUUUGUUUAAUUUCUGCCACGUGAGCUCUGUGAUACAACGCGUCACCGCCACAGACGUGGUUCGCGCUGCCAAGGUCCUCUUCUGAUUAGAAUAUGAUUCAAGUGAUGAAAACUGUGACCCCCGCGUUGUCCUUGUUAAUCAUCACACCUCCUUUCACGGGGGGGACAAAAAGAUCCGGAGACCGCACGUUCGGCCGAGCCGAGGGGAACGUGAUGUCUCCAGAGUGAGUGACUGCGCCGAGAAGCUGAAAAGACACCUGUGAUUGAUGCCACGCCGCGCGAGGGGAAAAAAAAAUACU
This is a long non-coding RNA of Betta splendens (Siamese fighting fish), 6481 nucleotides long. RefSeq lists it as uncharacterized. Lineage: Eukaryota; Metazoa; Chordata; Actinopteri; Anabantiformes; Osphronemidae. The transcript is spliced from 3 exons. The record is from RefSeq and is a predicted model, not a curated record.